CCGAAAAAUCUAAAUUAAAUUCCGUGGAUUUUUAGAAUUGAUUUCACGAUAGUGGGAGCGAGUACGAGGCUUGGAGAAGUUGUGGAAUUAGUUCGAACGAUUAAUUUUCGAAAACGAACGUUAUUUAGGGGCUCGCGAAAGUUGACUUUUUAUACGUUCAAAAUUUGGGAAAACUUCCUUCAUGAAAGUUGUAGAGCUCGUCGAUACGAUCGCGGGCAUAUGCGGAACGCAAAAAUCGGAGUUCGUAUGAAUUAGUUAUGAUUUUUUGAAAAAGUUUCCAAUUUAGUAUAAAGCUUCCAUUUUCGGAAAUUUCCGAAAAUAGUUUCAGAAUUUACAAAAAUAGAAAAAAAGCUGCUGCAGCCCUCGUCCCCGCCGGAAAUCGCCUCCGAUUUUCGUUUGGCCAUAUCUUCCUCCUCCGGCCACCGAUCCUCACCAAACUUCUUCCAUUGGCUUCGUAUGGUCCUUGCGCACCUGUCUGUGGCAGCCUUGCACGGCGGCACGGCCCCUAGCGGCGGCGGCGGUCCGGUUUCGAUUUAAGCUCGAUUUUGGUCAACGCCGGUUUUCUCCUAGCUCCGGCCACCAAAACUUCCGAUCCUUGGCUCCAUGAACUCCCCUCAACCUGCUGAUCAUCAUACUAGGAGGAUUGCACCUAGAGUGACCGGUUUCACGUUCGUCGGAGCUCGUGAGUUCUCCUUGAUGUUCUUAACAACUCUCUAGAAGGGAUCGAAGCCUGAAAUUGAAGUUUUGACGUCGAAAUCAAGCCUUGCCGGAUUCUGCAAAUUUCGCCGGAUUCUGGAAAUUUUCCGGCCACCUCGACUGUUUUAGGUGAUUGACGGAUCGAUUUGGCGGACAAUUUGUGAAAUUGUUGUUGAGCUGUUAAGAAGAUGCAGCUGGAUUAGAGGUGAGUAAAAUCGCACAUGGUUCCUUCAUGAACCGAAAUUUAGUGAUUUAUAUUGAAUUAUAAAGGUGUGGAAAAUUGUUUUAAGAAAAUAAAGAUUUGUUUUGAAAUAAUAUGAACUUGAUCGACUACGGUUCAUAAGGCUACUACUCACAGGUAAGGAAAAUGAAUUUAAGUAUAAAAAUGAAUUUCUUGUUUUUAUUGCAUGUGAACUAUAGAUGGUAUUAGUAGUCACUCUUGUGUAGGUGAUUACGUAUAUAUAUAUUGAAAGUUAUGACAUUGUGUGAUGUAUUGAGUUGUUCGUGAUAAAGAGUAGUUGAGUAAAGUGCGAUAGUUGAAAUGUGUAGACGAAUUAUAUGUUAGUGUCAAGUGUUCUCAUCGUGUGUCGAUGAUGGUGUCAAGUAUUCUCAUCGUGUGUCGAUGAUUGUGGCAAGUGUUCUCAUCGUGUGUCGAUGAA
Rosa rugosa (rugosa rose) is the source of this 1355-nucleotide long non-coding RNA. RefSeq lists it as uncharacterized. The record is from RefSeq and is a predicted model, not a curated record. The transcript has 3 exons. Lineage: Eukaryota; Viridiplantae; Streptophyta; Magnoliopsida; Rosales; Rosaceae.